This 2118-nucleotide long non-coding RNA is filed under the name Anser brachyrhynchus (Pink-footed goose). RNAcentral describes it as "lncRNA (ENSABRG00000013744.1)". Lineage: Eukaryota; Metazoa; Chordata; Aves; Anseriformes; Anatidae. The record is from RNAcentral.
GGGGCUGCUGCCCUCAACCUGGGGCAGGGGGGCAGGCAGGCAGGAGGUGUUUUUUGGGCAGAACGAGGUGAACUGGUGGCAAGCACAGCAUCAUGGCUCAGGAGCUGUGCAGAGAGGGAAAGGAGGAGGAGGGAAAGCACGCAGAGGCUGUGGAGCUGAGAACAGCUAUUAGUCACCGCAGAGGAGAAAAUGGCAGGAGCAGGUGGAACAGCAGGGCAGCCAGAAUCUGCUCCAGCACGCGGGGAGCAGGCAAUGGGACCUGGGUCUGCCUGUGGGGCCGAUGGCCUUGUCCCCUCCUGGUGUUUCACUGUGGCCCUGGGGGCACUUCCCCAGCCAGCCCCCUGCCUCGUGGGCUGUGACAGCCCAUGCAGGACAUGGGAUAAAGCAGCGGACCCGUUUUCUCCACAUUUCGCUAAAAGCUGUUUGCUUUUUUUUGCUUAAAUGACUACAGUGUUUGCUCUAGGGGUUCUGAAGCACCCAGCCAAAUUUCCUGUGUUGACGAGGAGCAAACAGUCCGGCAGAACGGGAGUUCCCUGCAACAAGCGAUGUUUGCAGAGAAAAUCCAGAGGCGUUCAGUGUGCUCCGAGCUGUUGCUUCAUUGAGAGCGAGCACUGACAGUGCUUGUUCUGUGUCAUGAUAAACCCCACCUAAGAGAGCUAUAGCAUCCUGGGAUGACUGGAGGAGGGAAUGCAAACUGAUAGGCAAGCUGCUGCUAAAAGGCAUGUGACACCGGUUUCAGCAUGAGACCAGCUGUCUUUAAUUUAAAUCACAACAGGUUGAGUAGAGGAGUCCAUCAAGGAGGAACGAGCUAUUCCUAUGGCGACCAGGCUGCAGGAAUCGCUGCGGUUUGCGGGGCGAUGCAGACAGAACUGAAGCCCGGGGAGCAUCCCCUCCUGACAAACAGGCUCCUGGUGCUGCUGACUCAUCAAGUGGUCAAGCGAGUACAGAAACAGCAGCCCGACGUCAGUGAUGAGCUGGAGGAGGAUGAGGCAGGAGCUGGAGGAGGAGCAGUGGGUGAGACGAAGGCUGACCCAGAGUUUUUUUCUGAAGUUGAAGGCGCAGGAGCUGGAGUGCUCUCAGUCCCCGGGGACAGAUCAAAUAGCAGCCGAAGCAGCUGAUUCCCCCCAGGGCGCCAGGAAUGAUGCUCGUGGGGCGCAUCUCUUGUCUGCAGCAAACAUGUUGGUGCCAGGGACGCUGCUUUCUAGAGCUGCUCCCGGGCUAAGGAGGCAGGGGCUGCGCUUCGCUUCUAUCCAGCAAGCUGUCACUCAGCCAGAAAUCAGCAUUUAAGAUCUCACCUUCCCUCUGUGCCCUCGCAGUGUCUGACAGCCGCUCUGCAUGGUGGUUUGUCUGCGGGGCGUACGGCAGCAUCCAUUCUGUGCUUGUACCGCGUGUUGGCUUCGAACCGAUGCCCGUUGCCUGACUCUGACUUGAACAAUUCCAGCGCAGUAUUUUUCCAGGGGGUAGAAUUUUUCAUUUUCCCCUGUCCAGCAAACUGUAAGAGCCACCAGCCAAAUUACCGCUUUCUCUUGUGUAACUGCUCUUUAAUUUUGCCGGCUGGACCCAGGUGGCUCAGAGGAUCAGCGCGGGAAUGCGAGAGCGGUGCAGAGCUCAGGCUUCAGCGCCGGGGGCAGGGACAGAGGCUGGCAGGGAAGGAGUUAAGGGCAGCCUUGGCUGGAGGACCAGCAGAGCUGAGCUGCAGCAGGUGUUUGCCAGGGGAAUCAGGGCCUUCCCUGGCUAUGAAAGGGCUGGUGCUGGGGCGCCGUGGGCUUUAGUGGUGGUGGCUGAGGUUUGCAAGCUAGAAGGAAGAUGGGGAAAGAGAGGGAAAUGUUAUUUUUAGCCCUGUUUCUUACAGUGGUGUUUGAGGACAGAGCUGCAGGCAGUGGCUGUUGCGCGGGGUCUCUGUGGCAGACCUGCGUCGUGUUCUCAAGAGCGGGCGAUGGAGAGGGGCAGCGCGCCCGGGGACGAGCGCCGCGUGUGGAUGAGGCUCCGGGGGCUCGCUGGGUUCAGGCUCUUUUCAAGAUUUCCACCUCGCACUUGUGCUGUAGGAAGCUCUUCUCUGCUCUUGAAGCAGCUGCUUGAGCCUUUCUGCUACUGUCUUUCCCCAGCUAUGCUCAGUAC